UGCAAGUCGAACGGCAGCACGGGUGCUUGCACCUGGUGGCGAGUGGCGAACGGGUGAGUAAUACAUCGGAACAUGUCCUGUAGUGGGGGAUAGCCCGGCGAAAGCCGGAUUAAUACCGCAUACGAUCUACGGAUGAAAGCGGGGGACCUUCGGGCCUCGCGCUAUAGGGUUGGCCGAUGGCUGAUUAGCUAGUUGGUGGGGUAAAGGCCUACCAAGGCGACGAUCAGUAGCUGGUCUGAGAGGACGACCAGCCACACUGGGACUGAGACACGGCCCAGACUCCUACGGGAGGCAGCAGUGGGGAAUUUUGGACAAUGGGCGAAAGCCUGAUCCAGCAAUGCCGCGUGUGUGAAGAAGGCCUUCGGGUUGUAAAGCACUUUUGUCCGGAAAGAAAUCCUUGGCUCUAAUACAGUCGGGGGAUGACGGUACCGGAAGAAUAAGCACCGGCUAACUACGUGCCAGCAGCCGCGGUAAUACGUAGGGUGCAAGCGUUAAUCGGAAUUACUGGGCGUAAAGCGUGCGCAGGCGGUUUGCUAAGACCGAUGUGAAAUCCCCGGGCUCAACCUGGGAACUGCAUUGGUGACUGGCAGGCUAGAGUAUGGCAGAGGGGGGUAGAAUUCCACGUGUAGCAGUGAAAUGCGUAGAGAUGUGGAGGAAUACCGAUGGCGAA
RNAcentral lists this ribosomal RNA (670 nucleotides) under Burkholderia territorii. Its description in RNAcentral is "bacterial SSU rRNA". It matches the Rfam family "Bacterial small subunit ribosomal RNA", at positions 56 to 719 of the family's 1533-position model. The record is from RNAcentral. Lineage: Bacteria; Pseudomonadati; Pseudomonadota; Betaproteobacteria; Burkholderiales; Burkholderiaceae.